GCUUCAGGUGGCUCAGUUGGGGAGAGUGGGGUGCUAUGAACGCCAAGGUUUCACGUUCGAAUCCCCAUCUGGGACA
This is a non-coding RNA of Podarcis lilfordi (Lilford's wall lizard), 76 nucleotides long. Lineage: Eukaryota; Metazoa; Chordata; Lepidosauria; Squamata; Lacertidae. The record is from the annotation of a GenBank genome assembly.